Molecule: ribosomal RNA, 427 nt
Filed under: uncultured bacterium
Lineage: Bacteria
Description: partial 16S ribosomal RNA
Rfam family: Bacterial small subunit ribosomal RNA
Source: RNAcentral
UGGGGAAUAUUGGACAAUGGGCGAAAGCCUGAUCCAGCCAUGCCGCGUGUGUGAAGAAGGUCUUCGGAUUGUAAAGCACUUUAAGUUGGGAGGAAGGGCAUUAACCUAAUACGUUAGUGUUUUGACGUUACCGACAGAAUAAGCACCGGCUAACUCUGUGUCAGCAGCCGCGGUAAUACAGAGGGUGCAAGCGUUAAUCGGAAUUACUGGGCGUAAAGCGCGCGUAGGUGGGUUGUUAAGUUGGAUGUGAAAUCCCCGGGCUCAACCUGGGAACUGCAUUCAAAACUGACUGACUAGAGUAUGGUAGAGGGUGGUGGAAUUUCCUGUGUAGCGGUGAAAUGCGUAGAUAUAGGAAGGAACACCAGUGGCGAAGGCGACCACCUGGACUAAUACUGACACUGAGGUGCGAAAGCGUGGGGAGCAAACA